UUUUUAUAGAAAUCMUUAUAAAUAUAACCUGCUCAAUGCUUAAUGUAAAUUGCCGCAGAAAUUUUAACUGUGCUAAGGUAGCAUAAUCAUUAUCCUUUUAAUUAAAGGCUAGAAUGAAUGGUUUAACAUUUAAAUAUCUUUUUUUUAUUAAUUUAUUAAAAUUAUAUUAAUAAUAAAAAUAUUAUUUUAUAAAAAAAAGACGACAAGACCCUAUCAAACUUUACUUUAGUUUAGCUGGGGCAGCUAAUUAAUAUAAAUUUUAAUUACAUUAUUUUUAAAAAUGAGCUAUUUUAAAUAAUUAUUUGACCAAGUUACUGUAGGGAUAACAGCAUAAUAUUUUUUAAAAGUUCAUAUUAAAAAAAAAAAUUAUGACCUCGAUGUUGAAUUAAUUUUUAUAUAAGGAGCAAAAACUUUAUAAUUAGGUCUGUUCRACCUUUAAAUUAU
RNAcentral lists this ribosomal RNA (444 nucleotides) under Malkaridae sp. LB-2014n. RNAcentral's name for it is "partial 16S ribosomal RNA". Lineage: Eukaryota; Metazoa; Arthropoda; Arachnida; Araneae; Malkaridae. The record is from RNAcentral.